UAGCCAUUGAACCUGGGCUGAGGAUGG
Molecule: non-coding RNA, 27 nt
Filed under: Mus musculus (house mouse)
Lineage: Eukaryota; Metazoa; Chordata; Mammalia; Rodentia; Muridae
Source: RNAcentral